AAGUCGUAACAAGGUUUCCGUAGGUGAACCUGCGGAAGGAUCAUUAACGAGGGAAUAAAUAUACACAGUGCAAGAGAAUACAUGUAAUGUAGGCCUUUUGAGUAACUAAUAGUGACAACUUUUAGCAACGGAUCUCUAGGCUCUC
Molecule: unclassified non-coding RNA, 145 nt
Filed under: fungal sp.
Lineage: Eukaryota; Fungi
Description: partial internal transcribed spacer region
Rfam family: Eukaryotic small subunit ribosomal RNA (bases 1-46)
Source: RNAcentral